AUAGAGACUCAGAGCUGCAUAUCAAUAAGCGGAGGAAAAGAAACUAACAAGGAUUCCCUCAGUAACGGCGAGUGAAGCGGGAAGAGCUCAAAUUUGAAAUCUUCGAGGUUCUACCUUGACGAAUUGUAGUUUAAAGAAGUGUUUUCUGUUGAAGUUUUCGGUAAAAGUUCUUUGGAAUAGGACAUCAUAGAGGGUGAGAAUCCCGUAUUUGACCAGUUACUUUCCAGCUGUUGUGAUACACUUUCAAAGAGUCGGAUUGUUUGGGAAUGCAGUCCAAAAUGGGCGGUAAAUUUCAUCUAAAGCUAAAUACUGGCGAGAGACCGAUAGCGAACAAGUACCGUGAGGGAAAGAUGAAAAGAACUUUGAAAAGAGAGUUAAACAGUACGUGAAAUUGUCAAAAGGGAAGCGUUUGACACCAGUGUUGUUUUUCCUCGAAAAUCAAUUAAGAAUGGCUUGAUUUUGUGUUGUAUUGACCUUAUAAGCUUUCUGCACUUUUUUUCGAUGUCUUUUUUAAUGCACUUUUCGGUUAACAAGUCAACAUCAAUUUCUUUUGUUGUAAAAAGAGUCAUUCGGAAGGUGGCUUUCUUUUCGGAGAAAGUGUUUAUAGCCCUAUACUUCUACAAUCGGAGAGAUUGAGGUCUGCAGCGUAGAUCCUUCGGGGUUAGAUACAUUUGUGCUAAGUUGUAGCUUUUCAUAGACAACUUGUUGACUAUGUUUAGUCAUUGUAGGCUUACUCGCUUAUGCUAUUUUACCUACGCUUAGGAUGUUGACGAUCAGCUGAGCGCG
Molecule: ribosomal RNA, 786 nt
Filed under: uncultured Neocallimastigales
Lineage: Eukaryota; Fungi; Neocallimastigomycota; Neocallimastigomycetes; Neocallimastigales
Description: partial large subunit ribosomal RNA
Rfam family: Eukaryotic large subunit ribosomal RNA
Source: RNAcentral